UACGUAGGGUGCGAGCGUUAAUCGGAAUUACUGGGCGUAAAGUGUGCGCAGGCGGCCAUGCAAGUCGGGUGUGAAAGCCCCGGGCUUAACUUGGGAAUUGCGCUCGAAACUACGUGGCUGGAGUGUGGCAGAGGAAGGUGGAAUUCCACGUGUAGCGGUGAAAUGCGUAGAGAUGUGGAGGAACACCAAUGGCGAAGGCAGCCUUCUGGGCCAACACUGACGCUCAUGCACGAAAGCGUGGGGAGCAAAC
This 250-nucleotide ribosomal RNA is filed under the name uncultured bacterium. RNAcentral describes it as "partial 16S ribosomal RNA". It matches the Rfam family "Bacterial small subunit ribosomal RNA", at positions 524 to 773 of the family's 1533-position model. The record is from RNAcentral.